This 708-nucleotide ribosomal RNA is filed under the name Escherichia coli. RNAcentral describes it as "bacterial LSU rRNA". It matches the Rfam family "Bacterial large subunit ribosomal RNA", at positions 144 to 893 of the family's 2925-position model. The record is from RNAcentral. Lineage: Bacteria; Pseudomonadati; Pseudomonadota; Gammaproteobacteria; Enterobacterales; Enterobacteriaceae.
CACACUAUCAUUAACUGAAUCCAUAGGUUAAUGAGGCGAACCGGGGGAACUGAAACAUCUAAGUACCCCGAGGAAAAGAAAUCAACCGAGAUUCCCCCAGUAGCGGCGAGCGAACGGGGAGGAGCCCAGAGCCUGAAUCAGUGUGUGUGUUAGUGGAAGCGUCUGGAAAGGCGCGCGAUACAGGGUGACAGCCCCGUACACAAAAAUGCACAUAUUGUGAGCUCGAUGAGUAGGGCGGGACACGUGGUAUCCUGUCUGAAUAUGGGGGGACCAUCCUCCAAGGCUAAAUACUCCUGACUGACCGAUAGUGAACCAGUACCGUGAGGGAAAGGCGAAAAGAACCCCGGCGAGGGGAGUGAAAAAGAACCUGAAACCGUGUACGUACAAGCAGUGGGAGCCUCUUUUAUGGGGUGACUGCGUACCUUUUGUAUAAUGGGUCAGCGACUUAUAUUCUGUAGCAAGGUUAACCGAAUAGGGGAGCCGAAGGGAAACCGAGUCUUAACUGGGCGUUAAGUUGCAGGGUAUAGACCCGAAACCCGGUGAUCUAGCCAUGGGCAGGUUGAAGGUUGGGUAACACUAACUGGAGGACCGAACCGACUAAUGUUGAAAAAUUAGCGGAUGACUUGUGGCUGGGGGUGAAAGGCCAAUCAAACCGGGAGAUAGCUGGUUCUCCCCGAAAGCUAUUUAGGUAGCGCCUCGUGAAUUCAU